This 575-nucleotide long non-coding RNA is filed under the name Mustela putorius furo (domestic ferret). Its description in RNAcentral is "lncRNA (ENSMPUG00000031138.1)". The record is from RNAcentral. Lineage: Eukaryota; Metazoa; Chordata; Mammalia; Carnivora; Mustelidae.
CCCCAGUAAAUGAGAUAAUGAGCGAAAGACUGAAGUGGACAGUUCACAAAAGAAGAAAUAUAGUGGUCAAUAGUAUGACUAGAUAGGUGUUAAAUCUUCCUAGUGAUCACACAUGUAAAUCAAAUAUUUUUUUUUAACCUAACAGUUUGGCAGAUCCUGAAAGACGAGUCUGUCCACUCCUGUCGAGGCUAUGUUGAAACUGAUACUCCCAUACGUUUCUGGUGGUAGUAGAGAGAUGACAAGUAGGCACAGAGAGAGAGGAGGAAGCAGGCUCCCUGCCGAGCAGAGAGCCCAAUGCGGGACUCGAUCCCAGAACUCUGAGAUCAUGAUCUGAGCCGAAGGCAGAGGCUUAACCCACUGAGCCACCCAGGAGCCCUCUUGGUAACAUUUUAAUAUCUAGUCCAUUUUAAGAUCUUCCUGAUUGUCCCAAAAAGGCUUUUUUGUGGUUAGUUCAAAUCGGGAUCCAAACCUGGUCUAUAAAUUAAAACCUUACCUUUAAUAGCAAAAUAUUGAAGCAGCCAAAUGGUAUUAUGAAAGAAAACUGAUGAAUUAUGACAGUGUCAUCAACUAGUGGC